UACGGGGGGGGCAAGCGUUGUUCGGAAUUACUGGGCGUAAAGGGCUCGUAGGUGGCCAACUAAGUCAGACGUGAAAUCCCCAAGCUUAACUUGGGAACUGCAUCCGAUACUGGAUGGCUUGAAUCCGGGAGAGGGAUGCAGAAUUCCAGGUGUAGCGGUGAAAUGCGUAGAUAUCUGGAGGAAUACCGGUGGCGAAGGCGGCAUCCUGGACCGGCAUUGACGCUGAGGAGCGAAAGCUAGGGGAGCAAACGGG
RNAcentral lists this ribosomal RNA (253 nucleotides) under uncultured bacterium. RNAcentral's name for it is "partial 16S ribosomal RNA". It matches the Rfam family "Bacterial small subunit ribosomal RNA", at positions 524 to 776 of the family's 1533-position model. The record is from RNAcentral.